This 18-nucleotide ribosomal RNA is filed under the name Cladonia farinacea. Its description in RNAcentral is "partial 28S ribosomal RNA". RNAcentral also lists the same sequence under 2 other names. The record is from RNAcentral. Lineage: Eukaryota; Fungi; Ascomycota; Lecanoromycetes; Lecanorales; Cladoniaceae.
UGACCUCGGAUCAGUAGG